CCUACGGGAGGCAGCAGUAGGGAAUUUUCGUCAAUGGGCGCAAGCCUGAACGAGCAAUGCCGCGUGAACGAGGAAGGUCUUAGGAUCGGAAAGUUCUGUUGAAGGGGAAAAAGAGGGGAGAGAGGAAAUGCAUUCUGAUUGAUAUUACACUUCAAGGCAGUCACGGCUAACUACGUGCCAGCAGCCGCGGUAAUACGUAGGUGGCGAGCGUUAUCCGGAAUGAUUGGGCGUAAAGGGUGCGUAGGCGGCCUGCUAAGUCUGGAGUGAAGGGUACCGGCUCAACCGGUACAGGCUCUGGAAACUGGCAGACUAGAGGGCAGGAGAGGGCGGUGGAACGCCAUGUGUAGCGGUAAAAUGCGUAGAUAUAUGGAAGAACACCAGUGGCGAAGGCGGCCGCCUGGCCUGUUACUGACGCUGAGGCACGAAAGCGUGGGGAGCAAAUAGGAUUAGAUACCCCUGUAGUC
RNAcentral lists this ribosomal RNA (464 nucleotides) under uncultured bacterium. RNAcentral describes it as "partial 16S ribosomal RNA". It matches the Rfam family "Bacterial small subunit ribosomal RNA", at positions 338 to 795 of the family's 1533-position model. The record is from RNAcentral.